UGAUGGGAAGAUGAUUCUCUGCCACGAGCUCCCUUCGAUCCUUUUCUCGACUCCACUGUGAGCCUGCUAGGUUUCAAAGCUGGAGCUGGAAGAGUGCUCAUUAAUUCAGCUUCAGGAAGGGGUGGAUACAGCGAUAUUUCCCCCAAUGGAGACUGGCGACUCAGUCAUGCAUCAGCUUUCAAAUGAGCUUCCCUCCUUAGAGUUACUUGGAAAUGUCCCAUGAAGUUUCAAUUAAUUUUACUUCUUUUUUGGCUACUUGGGGGCAGAAGGAGAAGAGGAUGAUGCAGAGAGAGAGAGAACAGAUUUUCUUAACAGUUAAUCAAAAUUGUUUGGCCUCACAUGGUUUUUCUGCUGCCCUUUCCACUGUGUUUAUUGACCUCCAACUUGCUAUUUUAGCCAAGGCUAGCCUUGGACUCCUGCUUUUCUUGCCUCCACCACCAGACAUUGGAAUUGCAGGUAGGAGCCACCACAGCCGUUCCAAAUGUUUCUAUAGAACACACUGAAAGUUGAUGUGAAGUGUCACUUUUAAGCCAGAAUUUUCUAUCUGGAGGUCCUCCCCUUGGUUAACUAUAGUGGGCACAGAUGGUCAGACAGAAUACAUGUGGCUUACAGUCUAUGCAAGAACAAGCCAAUGAUCACUGCCCACGUUCUUUAAUGAGAACAGAAAUGGAGGACACUUUAGAAAACCAGUGGAUAGAC
Molecule: long non-coding RNA, 699 nt
Filed under: Mus pahari (shrew mouse)
Lineage: Eukaryota; Metazoa; Chordata; Mammalia; Rodentia; Muridae
Description: lncRNA (MGP_PahariEiJ_G0005884.1)
Source: RNAcentral